AAUGAACGUUGGCGGCGUGGAUUAGGCAUGCAAGUCGUGCGACAAGUCUCUUUUAGCUUGCUAUUAGAGAUGGAGGAGCGGCGAAAGGGUGAGUAACGCGUGGAUACCUGCCCCUGGGUCCGGGAUAGCGUCGGGAAACUGGCGGUAAUACCGGAUAAUAUCCCCGGAUCAAAGGUGUGAUUCCGCCUAGGGAUGGGUCCGCGUCCUAUUAGCUUGUUGGUGGGGUAAUGGCCUACCAAGGCGAAGAUGGGUACCGGGUGUGAGAGCAUGGCCCGGCACACUGGGACUGAGACACUGCCCAGACACCUACGGGUGGCUGCAGUCGAGAAUCUUCCGCAAUGGGCGCAAGCCUGACGGAGCGACGCCGCGUGCGGGAUGAAGGCCUUCGGGUUGUAAACCGCUGUCAGUGGGGAGCAAAUCUUUUGGAGUUAUCUCCAGGAGUUGAGCGAUCCGCAGAGGAAGCGCAGGCUAAGUUCGUG
RNAcentral lists this ribosomal RNA (479 nucleotides) under uncultured bacterium. RNAcentral describes it as "bacterial SSU rRNA". It matches the Rfam family "Bacterial small subunit ribosomal RNA", at positions 28 to 507 of the family's 1533-position model. The record is from RNAcentral.